AUGAUCCUUCAGGCAAGUUAAAGGGGAAAUGAGGAGUGGUUAUUAAACUCGCUUAAUGCGAGAAGAGUGUUUCGCUCAGCCUGUUACGACUAUUGAGCACUCUCCUUCUUUUAUCAUCUGAUCCCUC
This 127-nucleotide small nucleolar RNA is filed under the name Arabidopsis thaliana (thale cress). RNAcentral describes it as "ncRNA (AT1G08643)". The stretch from base 24 to 125 matches the Rfam family "Small nucleolar RNA Z279/snoR105/snoR108". From Rfam's summary of the family: This family includes the plant snoRNAs known as Z279, snoR105 and snoR108. All three are members of the C/D class of snoRNA which contain the C (UGAUGA) and D (CUGA) box motifs. Most of the members of the box C/D family function in directing site-specific 2'-O-methylation of substrate RNAs. The record is from RNAcentral. Lineage: Eukaryota; Viridiplantae; Streptophyta; Magnoliopsida; Brassicales; Brassicaceae.